AUAUCUUUUAUACAUAUUUAUCAAAUUAUUUAACGUCUGAACGAUUAUUAAUUUGAAAAUAUCUUUUUUAAAUGUAUUUUUUUUCGUCUAAAUUAAUUUUACGCAACAUAACCUUCACGUUUAUUGUCUGAAGUCAUGGAACAGGUGGACUUUUGUACUACAAAAGGUGACGGGAAUGACAAAUGUUGUAAUUCCUCUCCAUGCCCAGAAAUAGUAGCUAAUUCGAUGUCGGAUGAAAAUGUAUCAGAAAAAACAAAUGUACUCAGAACAGAUCAUGAAAAUGAUAGUGUACAGCCUAUUGAAGAUACAGCUGCUACUACAUCUCAAGACAUACCACAAGAAAAAAUAGACUUUAAAGUAAUCUACAACAAACAGAAGAUUAAUAUAAAUUUUGCAUUAGAUGGUACUGUGGCCGAGCUGAAAGCACAUCUUCAAAAUAUUAUUUCAGUGCCACAAGUAAUGCAGAAAGUUAUGUUUAAAGGAUUAGCCAAAGAUGAUCAAACGCUUAGAAACUUGGGAGUUACAAAAGGUGCCAAAGUCAUGAUAGUGGGAUCAAAACUAGAUGAUGUAUUAGCUGUAUCAAUUCCGUCAAAGCAGGAUCUAGCAGAUGAAGCUAGUUCUACUGCAAGUAAGGAACCUCUGUCGCAACAAAAAAUUCACCGUAAAAUUCUAGAUAAAGGUAUUCCAGAUGAUGUUAUGCCGGGUAUAUUAGAUAGUAAGGAACCACUACCUGAAUUUCCUAUCUCAGGUAUGCUGAAUAAAUUUCGUGGCAAGGUUAGACUUACAUUUAAAUUGGAACAAGACCAGCUUUGGAUCGGUACAAAAGAAAGAACUGAUAAAAUUCCUAUGAACUCAAUAAAAGGUGUCCAUAGUGAACCAAUACAUGAUCAUCCAGAGUAUCAUAUUAUGGGUAUACAAUUAGGCACAACAGAAGCAUCAAGAUAUUGGAUAUACUGGGUUCCUGCACAAUACAUAUCAGCCAUCAAGGAUGCUAUUCUUGGAAAGUGGUGUUACUUCUGAUCAAGUGCAAAUGGAAAUUUCGUUUUCUCUGAAAACAAUGUGUAAUCAAGUGUAAACAUUGACACAAAUACGAUUGUGCUAGUCACACACUUUUAACAGAGGGGGGAGGGUUAAUGUAAUCAUAAAUUACAUUACAUCAAAUCCAUAUAUUGUCCUAAUUAAACAUGAAUCACAAGAAGAGCAUUGUUUUUAUUUGGACACUUUAGCCAAAAAAUUAUAGCUUAAAUGAGUCAAUUGGAAAAUUCUAUGUUUUCUGAUUAUUUAAAUAGGGGCUUUUGAAAUUUAGAAUAAAAGUGAACAUUUUGUAAAAUUACAUUUAUAGGAAGAAGCGAAGAAAGAAGUUAUGAUGUUGCAUUUACUGACAUUUGAAGUUCGUCGAGAAAUAUUUCAUCUGAUUACCAUAAUUGGGGAAAAUUUUAAUCAAUUAUUGCAUCUAAAUAUUUCAUUUAAAAUGAUUUACUUAUUAUUAAAGUCAAAUUAAUAUGAAAAACAUUUAAAACGGAAU
Vespa velutina is the source of this 1525-nucleotide RNA transcript. It is a transcript of the gene named ubiquitin domain-containing protein UBFD1-like, with no coding region annotated. NCBI's taxonomy places the organism in Eukaryota, Metazoa, Arthropoda, Insecta, Hymenoptera, Vespidae. The transcript has 6 exons. The record is from RefSeq and is a predicted model, not a curated record.